This 374-nucleotide RNase P RNA is filed under the name Chitinophagaceae bacterium. RNAcentral describes it as "RNase P RNA component class A". It matches the Rfam family "Bacterial RNase P class A". From Rfam's summary of the family: Ribonuclease P (RNase P) is a ubiquitous endoribonuclease, found in archaea, bacteria and eukarya as well as chloroplasts and mitochondria. Its best characterised activity is the generation of mature 5'-ends of tRNAs by cleaving the 5'-leader elements of precursor-tRNAs. The record is from RNAcentral. Lineage: Bacteria; Pseudomonadati; Bacteroidota; Chitinophagia; Chitinophagales; Chitinophagaceae.
ACUACAAACCGGGUUAUCGCUCUUCUUUUAAAGGAAGGGAGGAAAGUCUGGACAGCACAGAGCAUUGCACCGGUGAAUAGCCGGGUCUUGUGAAAGCAAGAACAGAUAGUGCCACAGAAAAUAACUGCCUGUUCUUUCUUCGGAAAGGGCAGGUGAGGAUGAAAACGUGAGGUAAGAGCUCACGAUUAUUACUGGUAACAGUAAUAGUGGGUAAACCUUGCAUGCUGAAACGCCACGUAUACCAUCGCUUAAGGGUGACUCGCCCGAUGAUGGAGGGUAGGCGGAUUGAUUCUGAUAUGCAAAUAUCAGAACAGAUAAAUGAUAGCCACCUGGGAAACCGGGGACAGAAUCCGGCUUAUAGGUUUGUAGUAUUU